RNAcentral lists this ribosomal RNA (482 nucleotides) under uncultured bacterium. RNAcentral describes it as "bacterial SSU rRNA". It matches the Rfam family "Bacterial small subunit ribosomal RNA", at positions 17 to 507 of the family's 1533-position model. The record is from RNAcentral.
UCCUGGCUCAGGAUGAACGCUGGCGGCGUGCCUAACACAUGCAAGUCGAACGAAGCGAUCGGAAGUUUUCGGACGGAUGAUUGACUGAGUGGCGGACGGGUGAGUAACGCGUGGGUAACCUGCCUCAUACAGGGGGAUAACAGUUAGAAAUGACUGCUAAUACCGCAUAAGCGCACAGUACCGCAUGGUACCGUGUGAAAAGCCGAGACGGUAUGAGAUGGACCCGCGUCUGAUUAGCUAGUUGGUGGGGUAACGGCCCACCAAGGCGACGAUCAGUAGCCGACCUGAGAGGGUGACCGGCCACAUUGGGACUGAGACACGGCCCAAACUCCUACGGGAGGCAGCAGUGGGGAAUAUUGCACAAUGGGGGAAACCCUGAUGCAGCGACGCCGCGUGAGUGAAGAAGUAUUUCGGUAUGUAAAGCUCUAUCAGCAGGGAAGAAAAUGACGGUACCUGACUAAGAAGCCCCGGCUAACUACGUG